UACGGAAGGCAGCAGUGGGGAAUAUUGCACAAUGGGCGAAAGCCUGAUGCAGCUAUGCCGCGUGUAUGAAGAAGGCCUUAGGGUUGUAAAGUACUUUCAUCGGGGAGGAAAAAACAAAACUAAUAAUUUUAUUUCUUGACGUUACCCGAAAAAGAAGCACCGGCUAACUCCGUGCCAGCAGCCGCGGUAAUACGGAGGGUGCUAGCGUUAAUCAGAAUUACUGGGCGUAAAGAGCACGUAGGUGGUUUUUUUAAGUCAGAUGUGAAAUCCCUAGGCUUAACCUAGGAACUGCAUUUUGAAACUGAAAUACUAGAGUAUCGUAGAGGGAGGUAGAAUUCUAGGUGUAGCGGUGAAAUGCGUAGAUAUCUGGAGGAAUACCUGUGGCGAAAGCGGCCUCCUAAACGAAUACUGACACUGAGGUGCGAAAGCGUGGGGAGCAAACAGGGAUUAGAUACC
RNAcentral lists this ribosomal RNA (456 nucleotides) under uncultured bacterium. RNAcentral describes it as "bacterial SSU rRNA". It matches the Rfam family "Bacterial small subunit ribosomal RNA", at positions 340 to 786 of the family's 1533-position model. The record is from RNAcentral.